GUUCGCUCUCAGAGCUCGGAUCUGUAUAAAGAGCGCUGUGGGAGUCUUUUGCCCUCCGCUCUAGCUCUAUCUUCCUCCGGACCCCGAAGCUUAAGAAGUAUCCGCCUCACUCUCUUUUUUAGAAAUAGGAGGGAAAGGUAGAGUGGAAAUUGAUUUCUUGCAGAGACUGAGGCGCUGAAUGAUAGAGGGAAUAAACAUUUGCCCUGGAUAAAAAUGUUCUUGGCUGUUGUUCAGCUCUAAUGAUGUCCUAGAGCAGAAGUGUUUCUUCUGUUGUCUCAUUUUACCAAGAGGAUGAUGUCUGUGUAUGUCUCUGUGUUUUAGAGAGGCUGGCAAAUGCUGCUAAGAGGAUCUGAGGUUCACAUAAAGAGGAUGAAAAUUCUGAAUUACUUUCACUGCAAAUAAACCUUAACAAUUGUGAGAGUUAGAGAGCAUACUUUUCACAUAAGACUUUGGUAUGCUGCCUAAAGCUACUUACAUAAUUUGCUAUUCAGAGAAAUGCAUUUGUUUAUUGAGGACCCACCCGGACUUAAAUUAGAAAAAUGUAACAUUCAGAUUUUUAUUUUAUAUGUGAAAUAAAUGUGUGAUUGCUGUUCUUAAAAAUUUGAAAAAAAACAGGAUAACAAGAAUAUUAAUUUUGUGACCCAUAGUUCAUGAACUUUAAAAGUGUUUACAGCAUUUAAAGUUUAUUUAACAAUUUAAGUAUUUGAGCACUAUACUAAUUCAUAUGGUUACAUUUGAUCAACUCCUUCAUGAAGCCAUAGGCUUUAUAUCUCCUAGCUGCCUUUCACCUUCAGAGCAAAUCUGGUUUAUACUUAGAUUGCUCCAAAAGUUAUGCAUUUUAAUUUUAUGUUGAAAAUGUCUUUCUUAGAUAAUCAUGGUGCAUAUUUGCAGUUAAUACUUCAGUAUAUUUUAUAUUAUUGGUAAUGCUUUUGUUAGCCAUCCUGGUGCUGCUUUCUUAUAAGAGCUAUGUAUGAGUACCAACUAAUAUAUUUCUUACCUAUUAACCCACUAAAAUUUCUAAUCUAAAAGCAAUAUUCAAGUUACAUUUUAUUACAGAAAUUGGAAAGCAAUUUGCCUGGGAAGCAAAAUGUUGAUAUGAUUCAGGUGAUUUUAACAUUAAAUU
RNAcentral lists this long non-coding RNA (1123 nucleotides) under Pan troglodytes (chimpanzee). Its description in RNAcentral is "long non-coding RNA NONPTRT000588". The record is from RNAcentral. Lineage: Eukaryota; Metazoa; Chordata; Mammalia; Primates; Hominidae.